CCCCAAACUCGAAUGGGAUCAGUUGAACCGAACCAGACCCAACCAGGGGUCCACUAAACCUACCGCAGGCCCAGUGGGGCUUUAUAACUCAACCCGACUCGACAAGGGCCCACUCGAUCAAACCUAAAUUUAUAAGGGCCCAUAUACAUGGAUUGGGCCAUCAAGUUACCUUCUCAAGUAAAGGCCUAAUUGGGUAACACUCCUUAUUUUGAUGGUGGGCC
RNAcentral lists this long non-coding RNA (221 nucleotides) under Carica papaya (papaya). Its description in RNAcentral is "long non-coding RNA (CPAP_LNC004295)". Lineage: Eukaryota; Viridiplantae; Streptophyta; Magnoliopsida; Brassicales; Caricaceae. The record is from RNAcentral.